GAUGAAGAACGCAGCGAAAUGCGAUAAGUAAUGUGAAUCGCAGAAUUCAGUGAAUCAUCGAAUCUUUGAACGCACCUUGCGCCCUGUGGUAUUCCGCAGGGCAUGCCUGUUCGAGCGUCAUUUCAACCCUCAAGCUCUGCUUGGUGUUGGGCCCUGCCCGCUGCGGCCGGCCCUAAAGACAGUGGCGGUGCCGCCUGGCCCUGAGCGUAGUACAUCUCUCGCUCCAGUGCCCGGUGGUAGCCUGCCAGAACCCCAACUCUCGUGGUUGACCUCGGAUCAGGUAGGGAUACCCGCUGAACUUAAGCAUAUCAAUAAGCGGAGGA
This 323-nucleotide unclassified non-coding RNA is filed under the name soil metagenome. Its description in RNAcentral is "partial contains 5.8S ribosomal RNA, internal transcribed spacer 2, and large subunit ribosomal RNA". The stretch from base 1 to 120 matches the Rfam family "5.8S ribosomal RNA", at positions 35 to 154 of the family's 154-position model. The record is from RNAcentral.